AGACACUGGCUUAAUACAGAACAUCGCCCCGCUUACAGGGUCUCUUGCAACUGCGUCGGCCUUAGGCUGGAAAAUGCAGGUUCCUGUUUCUGCGCUUUUUAAACUAGCCGAUACCGAGAGCCAGCCAACUCUAGCUAAAAACGAAACUCAAGCCAGGCGGGGUGGCGCGCGCCUGUAGUUCCAGAUACUCAGGAAGGUGAAGGGGUAGGAUCCCUUGAGUCCAGGAGUUCGAGACUGCAGUGAGCCAUGGUUGUGCCACUGUACUCCAACCUGCGCAACAUAGUGAGACCCUGUCUCUUUAAAUUAGACAUAAAAUAAACACUGCUUUAACGAAGGCAUCUGUUAUAUGUGACACUGAGCUUAGAAACCCAAAGGCCCCUUUCCGAGUUCAAGGAGUAGAGAUUGGAACUCUUGCCUCUUUUCCCAGAGCCAGAAAUAUGCAGUUACACUGCAGAGGCAUCAGUUAAGUGACUUUUUUUUUUUUUUUUUUUUUUUUUGAGAAAGGAACUGGGGCCUCAGAACUACCUCUCCAGACCCCAUUCCCCAACCCAACCUUGGAGGACAGCAGUUCAGUCCUCCAAGCGGAGUGCUUGGCUCAUUGCAACCUCCGCUUUCUGGACUCAAGUGAUCCUCCACCUCGGCCCCCCAGGUAGCUGGGA
This 659-nucleotide long non-coding RNA is filed under the name Homo sapiens (human). RNAcentral describes it as "non-protein coding lnc-GNG14-3:1". The record is from RNAcentral. Lineage: Eukaryota; Metazoa; Chordata; Mammalia; Primates; Hominidae.